CUUAACACAGCCAAGUCGAACGGAAAGGCCUGCAGCUUGCUGCGGGUACUCGAGUGGCGAACGGGUGAGUAACACGUGGGUGAUCUGCCUUGCACUUCGGGAUAAGCUUGGGAAACUGGGUCUAAUACCGGAUAGGACAGCUGUUUAGUGUCAGUUGUGGAAAGUUUUUUCGGUGCAAGAUGAGCUCGCGGCCUAUCAGCUUGUUGGUGGGGUAAUGGCCUACCAAGGCGUCGACGGGUAGCCGGCCUGAGAGGGUGUACGGCCACAUUGGGACUGAGAUACGGCCCAGACUCCUACGGGAGGCAGCAGUGGGGAAUAUUGCACAAUGGGCGGAAGCCUGAUGCAGCGACGCCGCGUGGGGGAUGAAGGCCUUCGGGUUGUAAACUCCUUUCGACAGGGACGAAGCGUAAGUGACGGUACCUGUAUAAGAAGCACCGGCUAACUACGUGCCAGCAGCCGCGGUAAUACGUAGGGUGCGAGCGUUGUCCGGAAUUACUGGGCGUAAAGAGCUCGUAGGUGGUUUGUCGCGUCGUCUGUGAAAUUCCGGGGCUUAACUCCGGGCGUGCAGGCGAUACGGGCUGACUUGAGUGCUGUAGGGGAGACUGGAAUUCCUGGUGUAGCGGUGAAAUGCGCAGAUAUCAGGAGGAACACCGAUGGCGAAGGCAGGUCUCUGGGCAGUAACUGACGCUGAGGAGCGAAAGCAUGGGUAGCGAACAGGAUUAGAUACCCUGGUAGUCCAUGCCGUAAACGGUGGGCGCUAGGUGUAGGGGGCUUCCACGUCUUCUGUGCCGUAGCUAACGCAUUAAGCGCCCCGCCUGGGGA
This 822-nucleotide ribosomal RNA is filed under the name uncultured Actinomycetes bacterium. RNAcentral describes it as "bacterial SSU rRNA". It matches the Rfam family "Bacterial small subunit ribosomal RNA", at positions 47 to 879 of the family's 1533-position model. The record is from RNAcentral. Lineage: Bacteria; Bacillati; Actinomycetota; Actinomycetes.